Molecule: ribosomal RNA, 540 nt
Filed under: uncultured bacterium
Lineage: Bacteria
Description: bacterial SSU rRNA
Rfam family: Bacterial small subunit ribosomal RNA
Source: RNAcentral
UGAGGAAUAUUGGUCAAUGGACGGAAGUCUGAACCAGCCAAGUAGCGUGCAGGAAGACGGCCCUAUGGGUUGUAAACUGCUUUUGUAUGGGGAUAAAGUCAAUCACGUGUGAUUGUUUGCAGGUACCAUACGAAUAAGGACCGGCUAAUUCCGUGCCAGCAGCCGCGGUAAUACGGAAGGUUCGGGCGUUAUCCGGAUUUAUUGGGUUUAAAGGGAGCGUAGGCCGGAGAUUAAGUGUGUUGUGAAAUGUAGACGCUCAACGUCUGACUUGCAGCGCAUACUGGUUUCCUUGAGUACGCACAACGUUGGCGGAAUUCGUCGUGUAGCGGUGAAAUGCUUAGAUAUGACGAAGAACUCCGAUUGCGAAGGCAGCUGACGGGAGCGCAACUGACGCUGAAGCUCGAAGGUGCGGGUAUCGAACAGGAUUAGAUACCCUGGUAGUCCGCACAGUAAACGAUGGAUGCCCGCUGUUGGUACCUAGUAUCAGCGGCUAAGCGAAAGCAUUAAGCAUCCCACCUGGGGAGUACGCCGGCAACGGUG